This 452-nucleotide ribosomal RNA is filed under the name uncultured bacterium. Its description in RNAcentral is "bacterial SSU rRNA". It matches the Rfam family "Bacterial small subunit ribosomal RNA", at positions 43 to 524 of the family's 1533-position model. The record is from RNAcentral.
CAGGCCUAACACAUGCAAGUCGAACGAGGUAGCAAUACCUAGUGGCAGACGGGUGAGUAACACGUGGUCAACCUACCCUAAGGUGGGGGAUAACUAGCCGAAAGGUUAGCUAAUACCGCAUAUGUAUAGAAUCGCAUGAUUCGAAUACAAAAGGAGUAAUCCGCCUUUGGACGGGACCGCGUCCGAUUAGCUAGUUGGUGGGGUAACGGCUCACCAAGGCGACGAUCGGUAGCUGGUUUGAGAGAGCGACCAGCCACACUGGGACUGAGAAACGGCCCAGACUCCUACGGGAGGCAGCAGUGAGGAAUUUUCCGCAAUGGGCGAAAGCCUGACGGAGCGACGCCGCGUGUGGGAUGAAGGCCUUCGGGUCGUAAACCACUGUCGAGGGGGAAGAUAUUGACGGUACCCCUGGAGGAAGGCCCGGCUAACUACGUGCCAGCAGCCGCGGUAAU